UUACAGCUCGAGCGGCCUUCUCAGUCGAACCGUUCACGUUGCGAGCUGCUGGCGGCCGCAACAUGUAUUUAAUACAAAACUAAUUUAAACAAAUUAAAGAGGCCUCAUUGGAGUCCAAACUUGGGUGUGAUGAGGAAAUAGUCUACUUCUUCGUUAUGUGUUAGACCCUUUAGCAUAGCUUCUCCCCAAAGAAUUCCAUUCUCAGAAUAUUCUCUCUUUCUGCCCAUGCCUUGUGAUCCCUUUAAGUGAAAGUGUACCUCCAUCCAAGCUGCCUAGAGGGACACAGAGGACACAAACCUGCAGCAGGGGUUUCCCCGAGUAUGCAGUGGGCAGUGUGGUUCUCUGGGCAAUAAAAGAAAAAGUGUGUGAUUCUUAUUUUCACUGGCAGUGAAGAAAAUCGGAGUGUUUGAAAAAAAAAAAAAAAACUGCUGUGGUCAACAACGUGUCAAAUGAAAAUAUGUACAAUUAGAAGUCAAAUCACACUGUUUUGUAAAAAUUCUACAUAAUUUAAAAUUCUAUAUAAUGCAGCAGAGUUUGAAACAUAUCAAGCUAUUGCUAAUUAUUUACUGAUAAAGCCUAUCUCCACAGCAAUAAUCAGCAGCUACCUGCUUGACUUCCUAGCGUUUUUCAGUCCUUAGUAAACCAGAAAAGUCCACAUAAAGUUGAGCUCUUGAGAUAAAAUAAUAAAGAGCAACCAUUUAUAUCUUUAACUCAGUGUCAUGCUGUGACUCACAAGACGCUUGUUAGUUUUCCUUUAUGGAUAGGUUUUAUUACUCUUAUUCUAAUAAGGUGGCAUGGUGUCUGACGUUUAGCCCACAAGGGCAGAGUUUUGCAUAAGAAGGCUGCUUGUACUUUGUCCAGUGGGCUUUAGUUUCCCAGUAUGGUUUAAAUCAUGCCCAGGAAAGAGGUAGAAAGAGCCAGCUGCACACACUGGAUGCUGGUCUUUCUAUCCUCAGACUCCAGACUUCAUUUCCAGUAGCGUUAUGUAGGUACUGACCUUACGCCUUCCAUCCCAAAAAAACAAUAGCAACACCUUUCAUUUAAAACUCAUAUUUUCCACCUAUCUGUUAAUAAUUUACCUCAACAUAACAGUUCAAAACUAAUCUUCAUUAAACAUUAAUUCCUCUAUGGAAAAAUUCAUUUAUAUAUUUUGGUUAAAAAUCUUAAGUUGUUUAUGUUUUCUGUGUUCCUUAGAAAACCGCUGAGCUUGAGUUGAUGAGAUGGCUCAGUAGGCAAAGUGCCAGCCCAGCAAGCUUAGGGAGUUGAGUUCAUAUCUCCACCAUCACUUAAAAGUCAGACACAGCAGCCUAUCCCUAGUGCUCGAACGGUAAAGGCAAUCGCUGGAACUAACUAGACAGCCAGUUCAGCUGGACCACUGAGCUCCUGGUUCAGAGCUACUCUGUCUCAAGAAACAAGAUGAAGACCAAUAGAGCAUCACACCUCAUAUCAUCAUGUGGCCUCCACGUGCAACUGCACAUGUCAGUAUGUGCACACACAAGCACAGGAAGGAAGACUCGCAGUUGAUGAACAUUUGCCAUAAACUGGCUACUGACUUCAGAAUGCUAAUAUGGAAACAAUGGAACAACAAAAGCAAGUCUUGGGACCAAUGACGUAACACAUACUUGAAGGGGUAGGAAAUGUUUCAGCAUGUCGUUGAACCCCCUUAAUGGACAACAUAAUCUAAUCUGCUCGGUGGCACAGAAAAUGAUUUAGGAUGUCUCAAAUGAUCUGCAUUUUACUUUCUACAGAACUUUAUUCAAUGGAGCAGACAAGACGCUCAAUUACAACUUCAAAGAACCAACAGACCUGGAUGGGAAUCUCAGCCCAACUAUGUGGCCUUUGGAUCAUGAUGGAGCGUGUCUCUUCCUCCAAAAAAGACAGAGGAUAAAGUAAGAUACAGAAAUGAGCAAGAAAUGAAAUACUUUUUCGUGGUUUUGGGGAGGAUGCUAUACCUUGGAAGUACCGGCCUGCUCCUCAGCAAAACUCUCAGUUGCUAUCUCUUGUAUUUGCAGGGCUCUGGGAGGUGACGUCUGCUUUCCCAUCUGGAGCUGAGGGUAGGAAAACAGAUGAAUUCCAACUCCUUCUACCUCACUCUUAUUGGGAACUGUGUGCUGCUACAUUAGAAAUGAGAGUUUGCAACGUCAACCUGCUGCUGCUGUUUCUGCUACGCACUUUGAAAGACUCAACAAUUUAUGCUUGUUUCCUUGUUUUUCUUCUCUGGUAAAAACUUAGCCACUAUCCAAACAGGAUUUUUUUUUCAGUGCCAGGAAGAUAAUAUCUCCUGGGCAAGGGUCACUUCAUGCAAGGUUGUCUACGAGGGGCCUGAGGUUGGGGCUUUAUUGUCAGCCCCUAGGCCCAGGGCACUGUCGUGUGCCACAGAGACUCUCUGUCCCUUUCCACCCAGGCUUCUCAGCUGGCAUCCAGGGCUUUGUCUCAUUUUGUAACCUUCCUCUAGGCUUUGUUACAGAUGCCUUCUCCAACAUCAGCUUCUUAUUUGAAACAUCAGCUACUUGUUGCUCAAAUUUUCAGAAACCUGACCUGAUAGCUAGACAAAAGUAUUCCCUAUCUGUAUACCACAAAGUCCCUCUGUCACACUGCACAGCCCCAUGGGGAGGCUAAUUGGUUAUCCAGUCAGACAGUACACAGUGGAUACAGGAUAACCCCAUUAUAGAAGAUAAAGCCACUGAAAGAAAAACAAAACUCACGUUGCUACCUCUGUUUCCCUUAAGAUUUUUCUCUGUCCACCAAUCCUGCCUUUCUUCCCUAACCAGUCCUGAAAAUGUGAGGCUCACACUAGGAAAAAUAAAAAGACCAGACUUAAAGAACCAAAGGGCUUUUAGGGAAAGUUGAGUUUGCAAACCGGAGAAGUGUGAAUGUUAGUAUAAUCAUGGCCAAUCAAAUUUCUCCUGCCCAGUGUAGGGGUAUAUCUUACUUUUAAGAAGCAGGGAUUGAGGGACUAAUGAAGUGGUCUAGCUAUUAAGAGUACUGUGUGUUCUUCCAAAGGUCCUGAGUUCGAUUUCCAGCAAACACAUGGUGGCUCGCAA
Mus musculus (house mouse) is the source of this 3044-nucleotide long non-coding RNA. RefSeq annotates it as predicted gene, 34581. Lineage: Eukaryota; Metazoa; Chordata; Mammalia; Rodentia; Muridae. The transcript has 5 exons. The record is from RefSeq and is a predicted model, not a curated record.